This 360-nucleotide small RNA is filed under the name Histoplasma capsulatum var. duboisii H88. RNAcentral describes it as "Histoplasma capsulatum H88 hypothetical RNA". Lineage: Eukaryota; Fungi; Ascomycota; Eurotiomycetes; Onygenales; Ajellomycetaceae. The record is from RNAcentral.
GGGUUAGUUACUCCUGCUAUUUAUUCAGCAAAGCCCAACCGAAUCCAAAACCAAUAUCCUGAUAAUUUUUUUUAUUGCUUCUUGGGGCGUUGUGGUUAUUAUUAUAAUGUAUUGGGGCCAUUGUAAGCUCAGGCUGUCAACGCAUUUCUGUAACCAUAACCACGAUUCCGGAGAUAUACUAGAGUUGUGCUAUCUACAGCAUGCAACUACGAUUUGCGUGCCAAACAAAGAAGAAAAUCGGAGCCUCAUUUAAGAAAAAUUAGUUUAGUUUGCCUUUUUUUUUCAAAUACAACCGUCAUCCAAUAAUUUCUACAAAGAGUUGAAAUUUAUGAGCGAAAGAAGGACACAGAUAGAUACUCG